Erinaceus europaeus (western European hedgehog) is the source of this 875-nucleotide long non-coding RNA. RefSeq lists it as uncharacterized. Lineage: Eukaryota; Metazoa; Chordata; Mammalia; Eulipotyphla; Erinaceidae. The record is from RefSeq and is a predicted model, not a curated record. The transcript is spliced from 2 exons.
UGUUUUAUGUUCAGGUGUCUCUUGAUCACGGUAACCCACAGUCCCCUGUGGGGGAAGACUUUGGGAGAAUUUUACCCAGAAUACUUGCCGCCUGCUUUUUGCCCUCCAGGAAACCAGAAGCCGGGUGAUUAGGACAAAGCCAAUGGCCCCUGGUUAGCUGACCAUCCCUGUCCCAUUUUUCCCCCUGGUCCCUUCCACUGUGACCACGGGAAAGUGUGGUCCCCUGAAUUCCCAGAGCCGGGCUCCACCUCAGAAGUGUCGUCUCUCUGAGCACGCAUUCCCCUGCAGCGAGCAGGCGGGCAGAUAGCAGAGACUGAGCCGAUUGAGAGAUGCUGGGCCAGAGAGGCCUGGGAGGAAAGGUGUCCAGCCAGUCGGCUUAGGACGCUCGUCGGCACCUGCUGAAAUGCUCCUGCCCGACAGCCCCUCCUCAGAGACUUGCCGUUACACACGGCAGGUUCUAGAGACUUGCGGGAGAGCUGCUCUCGAGGCCACCACGCGUCUGUGCUCCUAGGCCAACCCUUGUGCCCUGUGUUCAUUUUAUUUUGUGACCUGAGACUGCAAAAAGCAAUCAAGUAACACACGAGGAGGACAGAGGCUUAGCGCCUCCACUCUGGGGAAGUUCCGCAAGAAGCCUUUGCUGGGUGUCUGUUGUGCUUGUGCUGGUCUGCUUGGCCGGUCUUGCCUUCCCUUUGUCUCCCUCACAGCCCUCAGGCAGACCUGUGUGCAGGCCGCUCUAAAGCAAGCCUCUAGGGCCAUCGAAGUUUCUAUUUACAGUAUUCAAAAUUCCUUUAAGGUACAAAGAGCAAAUGCUUUGCCCUCUCUUAGGAUUAGAAGAAUUACAUAAAACUUAAUAAACAUUUUCAAUGAUGGAAAAA